UGUAAUUUUUCCAUAGCUGUUAGUUCUUCUCCGUCUUGGGUGUAUAUGGUAUUUAAUAAUCCAUAGUCAAAACAAGUUUUUAUUAAGCUUGGGUUGGUUUUGGGUAGUGCAAUUAGCUUGUUGUAACCUUGUAAUUUUUGGGUUAUAUAAUUUGUGUUUGGUUCUUUGAUAUUUGUAGCUCUGGGGUUAAGGUUUAGGAAAGUUUGUACUCUGUAGAUAUUUUCUAUGUAUUUU
This 234-nucleotide long non-coding RNA is filed under the name Capsicum annuum. RNAcentral describes it as "long non-coding RNA (CANN_LNC019466)". Lineage: Eukaryota; Viridiplantae; Streptophyta; Magnoliopsida; Solanales; Solanaceae. The record is from RNAcentral.